RNAcentral lists this unclassified non-coding RNA (253 nucleotides) under uncultured Alphaproteobacteria bacterium. RNAcentral's name for it is "contains 16S-23S intergenic spacer region". It matches the Rfam family "Bacterial small subunit ribosomal RNA", at positions 524 to 776 of the family's 1533-position model. Lineage: Bacteria; Pseudomonadati; Pseudomonadota; Alphaproteobacteria. The record is from RNAcentral.
UACGAAGGGGGCUAGCGGUGGUCGGAAUUACUGGGCGUAAAGCGCACGUAGGCGGACAUUUAAGUCAGGGGGGAAAUCCCGGAGCUCAACUCCGGAACUGCCUUUGAGACUGGGUGUCUUGAGUAUGGAAGAGGUGAGUGGAAUUCCGAGGGUAGAGGUGAAAUUCGUAGAUAUUCGGAGGAACACCAGUGGCGAAGGCGGCUCACUGGUCCAUAACUGACGCUGAGGGGCGAAAGCGUGGGGAGCAAACAGG